UAUUGUUCACUAAUUUCGUUCUGAAAUAAGGAAAAUAUUUUCAGGUUUUUUAAACUUCCAUUAUGAUUCUAAUUUUGUAUAUGUAAUGCUAAUAUAUAUUAAUAGUCAAACGUAACUGGCUGAUGGAUGUCCCUUUUUCGGUCAAACCACUGUAUCAAUUUUUACAAAUAAGGUAUAGUCCAUUCCACCCGAACUGGCACUUGACCUUGGAGUAUGGACGAUACCAAGUCUAUGUUGAAGGUAUGAAUGCAAUUCAAAUGAGAAAGAAUUUAACGAAUCAUCGAAUCCAUUACAAAGAUUUCAACCUUUUACUUUUAAAAAUUAGAAUAUUUAACUUAUUACUGAGUAAAUAAAAUUUCAUAUAUCACUGUGAGAUAACUACCCGGUAUUUGUAUUUUUUUUUUACAGAAAGCGUCUAAAUUACAUUCUAUAUGUUUUAAUUUAAUCAUUGUGUUAUAUUGAACUGUUGUUAUAAAAUUAUUUCACAAAAUGAUGAGACAGAAUAAAUAUCAUAUUUUAGCCAUUUAUUAUUAACAGUAAGUAAUAUGCAAACUAAUAAUUUUUUGAGUAUUUUUCUGAUUGAAAAUAUAUACAAAUAUCAUUUUGAUGAACUUAAGUCAGUUGAUACAUAUUUAAAAUAUAAAAUAAAAUUUUCGUCGACAUCACUUGCUGUUUCGGUUGAUUCUGAACCGAAGAUGACGAUUCAGUAGGCCUAUAAUUUAUUAUUAGUUUUUCAACUUCUGUUUCUAAAAGAAACUCCUUUUCAAUAUAUUCUUUUUCUAUUUUUUUUACCUUCUCACAACAAGCCGACCAUUCUUUUUCUCCAAUAUCUUGGAACCUUUGAUGACAAUACCUUUACCUCAUCA
This 866-nucleotide long non-coding RNA is filed under the name Androctonus crassicauda. The record is from RNAcentral. Lineage: Eukaryota; Metazoa; Arthropoda; Arachnida; Scorpiones; Buthidae.